CCCUUAGAUGUCCUGGGCCGCACGCGCGCUACACUGAGUGUCUGAGAUACGAGUCUGCCUGGUCCGGCAAGGUCUAGGUAAUCGCUAAAAGACACAUCAUGCUUGGGAUAGAUUAUUGCAAAUAUUAAUCUUGAACGAGGAAUUCCUAGUAAGCGCAAGUCAACAGCUUGCGUUGAUUACGUCCCUGCCCUUUGUACACACCGCCCGUCGCACCUACCGAUUGAAUGGUCCGGUGAGGCCUCGGGAUUGUGGCCAGUUUCCUUUAUUGGGAGUUGGCUGCGAGAACUUGUCCAAACCUUAUCAUUUAGAGGAAGGUGAAGUCGUAACA
RNAcentral lists this ribosomal RNA (328 nucleotides) under uncultured eukaryote. RNAcentral describes it as "partial 18S ribosomal RNA". It matches the Rfam family "Eukaryotic small subunit ribosomal RNA", at positions 1470 to 1796 of the family's 1831-position model. The record is from RNAcentral.